AGAGUUUGAUCAUGGCUCAGAUUGAACGCUGGCGGCAGGCCUAACACAUGCAAGUCGAACGGUAACAGGAAACAGCUUGCUGUUUCGCUGACGAGUGGCGGACGGGUGAGUAAUGUCUGGGAAACUGCCUGAUGGAGGGGGAUAACUACUGGAAACGGUAGCUAAUACCGCAUAACGUCGCAAGACCAAAGAGGGGGACCUUCGGGCCUCUUGCCAUCAGAUGUGCCCAGAUGGGAUUAGCUAGUAGGUGGGGUAACGGCUCACCUAGGCGACGAUCCCUAGCUGGUCUGAGAGGAUGACCAGCCACACUGGAACUGAGACACGGUCCAGACUCCUACGGGGGGCAGCAGUGGGGAAUAUUGCACAAUGGGCGCAAGCCUGAUGCAGCCAUGCCGCGUGUAUGAAGAAGGCCUUCGGGUUGUAAAGUACUUUCAGCGGGGAGGAAGGGAGUAAAGUUAAUACCUUUGCUCAUUGACGUUACCCGCAGAAGAAGCACCGGCUAACUCCGUGCCAGCAGCCACGGUAAUACGGAGGGUGCAAGCGUUAAUAGGAAUUACUGGGCGUAAAGCGCACGCAGGCGGUUUGUUAAGUCAGAUGUGAAAUCCCCGGGCUCAACCUGGGAACUGCAUCUGAUACUGGCAAGCUUGAGUCUCGUAGAGGGGGGUAGAAUUCCAGGUGUAGCGGUGAAAUGCGUAGAGAUCUGGAGGAAUACCGGUGGCGAAGGCGGCCCCCUGGACGAAGACUGACGCUCAGGUGCGAAAGCGUGGGGAGCAAACAGGAUUAGAUACCCUGGUAGUCCACGCCGUAAACGAUGUCGACUUGGAGGUUGUGCCCUUGAGGCGUGGCUUCCGGAGCUAACGCGUUAAGUCGACCGCCUGGGGAGUACGGCCGCAAGGUUAAAACUCAAAUGAAUUGACGGGGGCCCGCACAAGCGGUGGAGCAUGUGGUUUAAUUCGAUGCAACGCGAAGAACCUUACCUGGUCUUGACAUCCACGGAAGUUUUCAGAGAUGAGAAUGUGCCUUCGGGAACCGUGAGACAGGUGCUGCAUGGCUGUCGUCAGCUCGUGUUGUGAAAUGUUGGGUUAAGUCCCGCAACGAGCGCAACCCUUAUCCUUUGUUGCCAGCGGUCCGGCCGGGAACUCAAAGGAGACUGCCAGUGAUAAACUGGAGGAAGGUGGGGAUGACGUCAAGUCAUCAUGGCCCUUACGACCAGGGCUACACACGUGCUACAAUGGCGCAUACAAAGAGAAGCGACCUCGCGAGAGCAAGCGGACCUCAUAAAGUGCGUCGUAGUCCGGAUUGGAGUCUGCAACUCGACUCCAUGAAGUCGGAAUCGCUAGUAAUCGUGGAUCAGAAUGCCACGGUGAAUACGUUCCCGGGCCUUGUGCACACCGCCCGUCACACCAUGGGAGUGGGUUGCAAAAGAAGUAGGUAGCUUAACCUUCGGGAGGGCGCUUACCACUUUGUGAUUCAUGACUGGGGUGAAGUCGUAACAAGGUAACCGUAGGGGAACCUGCGGUUG
Molecule: ribosomal RNA, 1522 nt
Filed under: metagenome
Description: bacterial SSU rRNA
Rfam family: Bacterial small subunit ribosomal RNA
Source: RNAcentral